Molecule: long non-coding RNA, 552 nt
Organism: Tachysurus fulvidraco (yellow catfish)
Lineage: Eukaryota; Metazoa; Chordata; Actinopteri; Siluriformes; Bagridae
Exons: 3
Source: RefSeq, a predicted model, not a curated record
CACGUGAUUUUGCCAGAACGAAUCAAGCUUCGAUACAAAGCUUCAAUGAAAAUGGGUUCAUUUUUUUGACACACACCUCGGAGCUUCGGUGUCCCUGGUAAUAUGUGAGGCAACCCAAAUGUCGAGGCAAAAUGGCCAGGAUCUGUGAAUGAUGCCAGAAUUUUCCACGAGUCAUCAUUAUGCCAGACAUUUCAGCAGGGACAGUACAAUGGUUACUUGCUGGGGGACAGAGGAUACCCUUGUCUGCCCUAUUUAAUGACCCCUUACCCUGAACCUGAGCCUGGACCACAGACACGGUUUAACCUGGCUCUCAUGAACACCUACAGAUUUUAGAGGCCAACAGAGACGGAAGACUUUUGAGAGACAUUAUCUGUCAAUUACUUUUAUUAAUUUUUUGCACUGGUCUGCCAGGCAGGUUAUUUCUUUAUUUCCUGAAAAACAAUAAAAGUAAAAUUCAAUAAAAUGUUUUUUUAUAUUGCUUUACACAUACAUACACACACCACUUUCCACAUGCAACAGAUUAAAGUUCUCACCUUAAGGCGAUGCUCCAGU